UGUGAGGGGCAGUGAAGUAUAUAAUAUUUUCCCAAAAAGACUAAGAAGAUAAACCUUCCAAAUAUCACCAUAGCCCCACGUGUAAACUUGUUACUGUUCAUAUACACACACACACAAGGAACCUUGUAUAUCGAUAGCCGGCGGCGGAUGUUGGUGGUGGGUGACGGACUGAUGGUUGUGAAGAGUUGCUCAAUUCCCAGCAGUCAAUCCACAAUACAGGCUCUUUCCCUUCAUUGUUUAAUUUAUAUGUAUAUCUGUAUCUUUAUAUAUGUAUAGACAACCCCUAUAUAUACACAGUUUCAUAAAAAGUUUUUUAAUUUUAUGUAUUAACUCAGUAGUAGUAGGAGUAGAGAAGUGUUGAUGGAGAUAUUAAAAUCUAAUAAAUUGCCUCCUCCUCUUCCCAAUUCCAUAAAGAGCCCCUUGGUGGUGUUGCUGUAUGGAAGCCCACAAUCAAUCUUGUUCAUUUCUCCUUUUCCUCCAAGGAGUUUCAGAGUUUCUGCCCUUAAAAAAUUGCCCCCCUUUUUCAACAACACCACCCCCACAAAAAGGACAAAUCAUCUGAGGAAAAAGCUCCUUGUCUUUGAACAGCAACCACCUGUUUUUUAUCCUCCUCCUCCUCGUAUCAUUGUUGACAAUGAUGUUGCUUUGAAACCACCACCUCCCAACCACACUAGUGCUAGUACUCAUAAAAGUCUUGUUUUAUCAUGGAGUCAACUGCAGACCUGGGCACUUACUAACCGAAACCCUUUUCCCAAACAAAUUUAUGUACUUUUUGUUUUUCUUGUGAUUUUCUCUUUCAAGACCGUUUUUACAUUCGAUAAGCAACAACAACAACAACACCAGCAGCAUUCUUCUUCUUCUAGUCUGGACAACCAAAUGUUGUCAAGAAAAAUUAAAGCUCGCAAGGCGAAACAGGUAGUCGUAGUCCAACAACAUUCUAACCUCCCCCCCAAUAUGGAUAUGGUUAAGCCCCAACUGGACAAACAACACCUUAUGAAUACCAUUGUCACUGCAAACUCAUUCAAUCAUAAUUCUUCUACGGAUUUUGACAACAAAAUUCAACAUAUUAGAAUAAUGGCUAGACACGCACGAGAUGUUGAAAAAUUACAUGCUAAUGGGGAAGAUAGCCAAACCAAACCUAUGGAAAAGGAAUUCAACCGUCUUCAACCCACAUCUGUACAAGCAGCUCAUGUCCCAAUCCUUUUAAAUAGUCAAGAUUCCGAUGAUGUUUCAAGGCCCGAUGUCCCAAACAUUGCGCAAAAUGUUGCACAAGGUUUGGAAGACAAAGCGUCAAUCUUAAUAGGUUCUGAGAAAAAAUCAAGGAUUAUUAGCUCUGUUCAGGAAGCAAGAGAAUAUCUUAUCAAGAAAAAACUUGACAACAAAGAGAAAACCCAAGAACCCCAAAUUACAAACUUUCAUCAAACGGCUAGUAAUGAUGAUAUGUUUGACUUUUCUGUCAAUAAGUCUUCAAAAAAUACCAAUAUGGGGAUGAAUGGAAAUGUUUUGAUCAACAACACUAAUGCUAAACAUGAUAAAGAAAUGCCAUCUGAAGGUAGUACUUCAAAAGCUGGGGAAUUAGGAAGAUCAAAUCGUGAAAAGUGGAUGGAGGAUAACUUUCAUGAGUUUGAGCCAAUAGUUGAAAAGAUUAGAGGUGGAUUUAGAGACAAUUACAUGUUAGCUAAAGAGAAAGUGGAAUCAGAUGUAAAGAUGGUCUCGGAGCUGAAGAUGCUUGAACGUGAUAACAUUGAAAGCGAAUUUGAAUGGAUGAAAGAUGAGAAGCUUAGAGAAAUUGUGUUCCAAGUACGAGAGAAUGAGCUGAUGGGUAGAGAACCCUUCUAUCUUAUGGAUGCAGAAGAUAAGGCCUUGUUUUUCAAAGGUCUCGAGAAGAAAGUUGAGAAAGAAAAUGAGAAACUACAUGAACUUCAUGAAUAUGUUCAUUCAAAUAUCGAAAACCUUGAUUACGGAGCAGAUGGGAUUAGCUUGUAUGAUCCUCCGGAGAAGAUCAUACCUCGAUGGAAGGGGCCCCCACCAGCUACAGCAAUGAGCCAACAGUCAUUUGAUGAUUAUUUAGAUCAAAGGAAAACACUAUUUGCUGAAACCUUGGGGCUUUCAGAUCUUGUAAAGAGGGAUCCACAAGACUUGCUUCAAAAUACCAAUGAAAAAGCUGAAAGUAAGAAUUUGAAUAGUUCAAAAACCGUGAUAGAAGGGAGUGAUGGGUCUAUUAAAGCUGGAAAGAAAUCGGGGAAAGAGUUUUGGCUGCAUACAAAGAAAUGGUCUCGUGGAUUUAUAGAUUCUUAUAAUGCUGAGAGUGAUCCAGAAACCAAAGCUGUUAUGAAGGAUAUUGGAAAGGACUUGGAAAGAUGGAUUACCGAGAAAGAAAUACAAGAUGCUGCUGCUAUAAUGAAUAAGGUUCCUGAUAAAGGGAAAAUAUUCAUCACGGAGAAAAUAAAUAGGUUGAAGAAGGAAAUGGAAUUAUUUGGACCCCAAGCUGUUGUGAGCAAGUAUAGUGAGUACGAUGACGAGGAGGAAAUAGAUUAUUAUUGGUGGCUCGACCUUCCAUUUUUACUGUGUAUUGAAUUAUAUAUUACUGGAGAUGGAGAUCAAGAUGGAGAGGAGAGAAUAGGGUUCUAUUCAUUGGAGAUGGCAUCGGACCUUGAACUUGAUCCAAAACCACAUCAUAUUAUUGCUUUUGAGGAUGCUGGUGACUGCAAGAAUCUUUGCUAUAUUAUUCAGUCCCACCUAGAAAUGCUUGGAAAUGGCAAUGCCUUUGUAGUACCACAAGCUCCAAAGGAUACCUACAGGGAAGCAAAGGCUAGUGGUUUUAAUGUUACAGUUAUUAGAAAAGGGGAACUGAAACUGGAUGUGGAUCAAACACUAGAAGAGGCUGAAGAAAACAUUGUUGAGAUAGGGAGCCAGAUGUACCACGAUAAAAUUAUGAAAGGCCGCAAUGUGGAUGUGGAUUCCUUAAUGAAAGGUGUUUUUGGACUGACGAAACCCAACAAGAGAUGAAAACAGGUCGUUUGAUUUGGCCUUUUAAGAACACAAGGAUUGAAGUAGCACCAAUGCGUAGGCUGCUUAAUAGGAACCAUGAUUCCGCUUAGAUUCAAGAUUCUGCAUCUUUAGUACGAUCGGGGGUGAGAAGGCUGCUCAAACAUAAACGACAAGGUUAACAUCGUCAACAUAACCAUCAAUACCUUAACGAUAUUGGGUAGUUACUUUGGAGGUUUUAAGUAGGAAAAAUAUUGGUUGCUUCCUGACUUGCAUUAGGGCUGAUGGUGCUGUCCAUGUUUUCGAGCCUACGGAAUCUGAAGGCAAAUGGGGGGUCCCACCACCGGCUGAUAACGGUUAACCAAGUAAUGUAGCAGCUAGUUCAGUAGGAGGCCUUGGUGCAGAACAAACUCAAAGAUAACAGCGUUAUUUUAUCGCAGCAGUUUUGGCGUCUCAAGGAAAAUGUAGUCUAGUUGGUGAUGUGUAGAUCUAACUUGUUCCGUAUGUGUAAAGCACUAGUUUCAGAUAUUUGGAUUCUAAUGUUGCAUGGUUCAGAUAUUCCGAUUUUUGUUCUGUUGUUUAGUCACAGUAUAGGGAUGUUUUGAAGCAUGUUUGACCUUUCAGCCUCUGAAAUACAUAAUGUUUUACCA
Molecule: RNA transcript, 3638 nt
Organism: Erigeron canadensis
Lineage: Eukaryota; Viridiplantae; Streptophyta; Magnoliopsida; Asterales; Asteraceae
Exons: 7
Source: RefSeq, a predicted model, not a curated record